This 75-nucleotide antisense RNA is filed under the name Streptomyces sp. 846.5. RNAcentral describes it as "ASpks TB sRNA". It matches the Rfam family "ASpks TB sRNA". The record is from Rfam by way of RNAcentral. Lineage: Bacteria; Bacillati; Actinomycetota; Actinomycetes; Kitasatosporales; Streptomycetaceae.
CUUGAGCGAGCCCAGCCACAACGGCCGGUCCGCCUCACGGUCCUGACCGUAGGUCGCCAGCAACGCCUGUGCCUC